RNAcentral lists this ribosomal RNA (509 nucleotides) under uncultured Georgfuchsia sp. RNAcentral's name for it is "bacterial SSU rRNA". It matches the Rfam family "Bacterial small subunit ribosomal RNA", at positions 521 to 1026 of the family's 1533-position model. The record is from RNAcentral. Lineage: Bacteria; Pseudomonadati; Pseudomonadota; Betaproteobacteria; Nitrosomonadales; Sterolibacteriaceae.
UAAUACGUAGGGUGCGAGCGUUAAUCGGAAUUACUGGGCGUAAAGCGCGCGCAGGCGGUUUUGUAAGACAGAUGUGAAAUCCCCGGGCUUAACCUGGGAACUGCGUUUGUGACUGCAAGACUCGAGUGCGGCAGAGGGGGGUGGAAUUCCACGUGUAGCAGUGAAAUGCGUAGAGAUGUGGAGGAACACCGAUGGCGAAGGCAGCCCCCUGGGUCGACACUGACGCUCAUGCACGAAAGCGUGGGUAGCAAACAGGAUUAGAUACCCUGGUAGUCCACGCCCUAAACGAUGCGAACUAGGUGUUGGAGAAGGAGACUUCUUUAGUACCGCAGCUAACGCGUGAAGUUCGCCGCCUGGGGAGUACGGUCGCAAGAUUAAAACUCAAAGGAAUUGACGGGGACCCGCACAAGCGGUGGAUGAUGUGGAUUAAUUCGAUGCAACGCGAAAAACCUUACCUACCCUUGACAUGCCAGGAAUCCUGAAGAGAUUUGGGAGUGCUCGAAAGAGAG